UCAGGAAAAAUAAAGGAGCUUGAAGCUCAGCUGGAGGCAGUAGAGAAGAAGGCAGCAAAGGCUGCCUCCAAGGCCGUUGUGGACAUUCAGACAUUAGUAGAAUAUAAGGAUGAGAAAAUUGAGUUUUUUGCUGAUGCCUAUGCUGGUGAGAAGCAGCUGGUCCAUGAUAGGAUUGUUGUCAAAUAUCUAGAACUAAAUCUAAAUU
RNAcentral lists this long non-coding RNA (205 nucleotides) under Elaeis guineensis (African oil palm). Its description in RNAcentral is "long non-coding RNA (EGUI_LNC039303)". The record is from RNAcentral. Lineage: Eukaryota; Viridiplantae; Streptophyta; Magnoliopsida; Arecales; Arecaceae.